GGAGAUGAGGGGGGAGGCAGGGCCUGGGGGUGCCCGGCCCAGCCCCUGUGCCCCCAGUCCCAGGCGCCCAUCCAGGGAGGCUGGAGGGCCUGGGCCCCGGCCAGAGCACACCAUGAUCACGGUUGCAGAUUGGGCUGGGUUCAAGGAUGGGGAUAGAGACAGUCCAGGCUUCCCACGUCCGCUGACCUCCAGAAGCACACUGAGUCGGACACACGUUGGAUAAAGCUCAGGCAUCGCGGAAUUCGCAUCCCUGUUUCUAGAACUCAACGUCCAAAGGGAUUCAGGCAGCCCGCAGAUCUGAAGCCCCAGCCCGCACCUCUGCAGACUGGAUAUCCCACCAGCCUCAGAUACCGCCUCACCUCAACACACCCAGGAGUUUCCGUCAUGGCUCAGCAGUAACGAACCCAACUAGUAUCCAUGAGGACGCGGGUUCCAUCCCUGGCCUUGAUCAAUGGUUCAAGGAUCUAGCGUUGCUGUGAGCUGUGGUGUAGGUCGA
Molecule: long non-coding RNA, 496 nt
Organism: Sus scrofa (pig)
Lineage: Eukaryota; Metazoa; Chordata; Mammalia; Artiodactyla; Suidae
Source: RefSeq, a predicted model, not a curated record